AGCAUAAGAAGUAGCAAUACUUUGGUGGCGACCGGCGCACGGGUGAGUAACACGUAUGCAACCUACCUGUAAGCGGGGAAUAACCCGGAGAAAUUCGGACUAAUACCGCAUAACACCGCUGAACUGCAUGGUUUAGUGGUUAAACAUUUAUGGCUUACAGAUGGGCAUGCGUAUGAUUAGCUAGUUGGUGAGGUAACGGCUCACCAAGGCAACGAUCAUUAGGGGUUCUGAGAGGAAGGUCCCCCACAUUGGAACUGAGACACGGUCCAAACUCCUACGGGAGGCAGCAGUGAGGAAUAUUGGUCAAUGGGCGAGAGCCUGAACCAGCCAAGUCGCGUGAAGGAAGAAGGUUCUAUGGAUUGUAAACUUCUUUUGUAAGGGAAUAAAGUGCAGCACGUGUGCUGUUUUGUAUGUACUUUACGAAUAAGGAUCGGCUAACUCCGUGCCAGCAGCCGCGGUAAUACGGAGGAUCCGAGCGUUAUCCGGAUUUAUUGGGUUUAAAGGGUGCGUAGGCGGACCCGUAAGUCAGUGGUGAAAGUUUGCAGCUUAACUGUAAAAUUGCCAUUGAAACUACGGAUCUUGAGUGUAAAUGAGGUAGGCGGAAUGUGUUGUGUAGCGGUGAAAUGCUUAGAUAUAACACAGAACACCAAUUGCGAAGGCAGCUUACUGGGAUACAACUGACGCUGAGGCACGAAAGCGUGGGGAUCAAACAGGAUUAGAUACCCUGGUAGUCCACGCAGUAAACGAUGAAUACUAGCUGUAUGCGAUAUACUGUAUGUGGCAAAGCGAAAGCGUUAAGU
Molecule: ribosomal RNA, 800 nt
Filed under: uncultured Bacteroidota bacterium
Lineage: Bacteria; Pseudomonadati; Bacteroidota
Description: bacterial SSU rRNA
Rfam family: Bacterial small subunit ribosomal RNA
Source: RNAcentral